Molecule: ribosomal RNA, 249 nt
Filed under: uncultured bacterium
Lineage: Bacteria
Description: partial 16S ribosomal RNA
Rfam family: Bacterial small subunit ribosomal RNA
Source: RNAcentral
UACGUAGGGCGCAAGCGUUAUCCGGAAUUAUUGGGCGUAAAGAGCUCGUAGGCGGCUUGUCGCGUCGUCUGUGAAAUCCCGCGGCUCAACCGCGGGUCUGCAGUCGAUACGGGCAGGCUAGAGUUCGGUAGGGGAGACUGGAAUUCCUGGUAUAGCGGUGAAAUGCGCAGAUAUCAGGAGGAACACCGGUGGCGAAGGCGGGUCUCUGGGCCGAUACUGACGCUGAGGAGCGAAAGCGUGGGGAGCGAA